CCCAGGACCAACUUGUUUACUGAUUGUUUUCACUUGGCACAACCAGUUAGCUAAACUUGCUUGACUAUAUGACCAGAGAGUCAUAAAAGACCCCACUGGGAAUUUACCUCCCGGUAGAUUAUCUCCUGAGGUCAAGAUUCAUUGUGCAGAUCUUGAAGGUUCAGUCUGGAGAGGAAGCCCUUGGAGAGCUAAGAAGGACCUUUUGGAGCUUGCGCAUGGGCUGUCUCUGGACCUCCAAUGCUUGCCUGCACUCUUCUCUUGCUGCACUGCAUGCAACCUCUGCCUGUGUAUUAAAGCCUUCUGUGACUCCGCCUUGUGGAUCCUGAUGGAGAGAAGAUAGUGACUGUAGCUGCACCUAAAUGUGGAGAUUUGGUGGCAGAAAGAAGCUUCUGGUUUGAGAAAUUUUGGAUAUGAAUAUGGGGGAAGCAAAAGCCUUGAACAUGCAUGUGCUCAAUUUAAUUGUUUCUUGAACAGAAGAAUGAACUACGGAAUGCUGGCAACUCCCAGAAGCUGGAAGAGGCAAGGAGUGGACUUUCCCCUACAGCCCGCAGAGGGAGUGAGGCACCUGCCGAUGAAUUGAUUUUAGCCCAGUGGUACUGAUUCCAGACUUCUGGCCUCCAGAACGAUAAGAGAAUGAACUUCUGUUGUUUGAAGUCACCAAGUUUGUGGUAAUUUGUAACAACAGUCACAAGAAACUAAUACAAAAGGUAUAAAGCAACAUUUCUUUUGAGUAAAUGUUAGUUUUCGUGCUGAUUCCAAAUGCAAGUGUUAACAAAGGUAUGGUAAACUGCUUUUCAAAAUGAAAAUUUCAAUCAAAAUGAUGUGUCAUUGACAAAAUAAAUUUUCUUUUCAGAAACUUUCAUUUAUGAGUUCGAAUAUAACUAGUAAACAGAGUGCAUGAAGGCAUUUGACAAAAUCAUUUUGUUUACUGAGCUUUUUUUAAACUGAUGAAUCUUCUCAUAUGAAGUGUUUUGUUGAUCUGCCAGUGAGUUUUUUUUAAUUUGUCGAGCACAGUGAAACUGACUGAAUUAUCUAAUAAAAGAAUAAACCUUUUAAAAACAUCUCUUUUCUUUUGGUUUAAUAUCUACUGAUCCUACUUUUAUUCUGGACUUUUUCAAAACUAAUACCUGAUGGGGAAACAAAAUGUAUAACAUGAAUCUAAAUUCUAGCAAAACAGUCAGUUAUUAUUUAACAGCAUUUACCCUUAUAUAAAGUCUCUAAAAUGUGGCCUUCUAUCCAAAGAAGUGAUAGCAUUUAAAGGAAGACUUGUGGAAGUUUCGAGAAGCAAGAUUCUUGUAGCAACUACUGAAACAGGGAGAGUGGCUAACUGCCUGUUUUUCUAGAAACUUCUCAGUGUGGUGUGCUUGAUCUUGGUAAUAAAUAUGUGCCUAAAGUGGUGCAGUUUCAGAAGCCUGACUUUGUUGAUUACUCCCAGCGGAUCCAGUGGCAAUCAGUACAAUAUCUCAUUCAUUUCUCUGGGUCCUGGGGAUGUGACACUAAACAAACAAAAAGUGGAGGAAGACAGACAAAAAUAAACAAACAAGUAUUAUCAAUAGUGACAAGUACUGGGCAAAAAAUUUGGCAAGAUAAGUUGAAUAUGACAUGCCUUAGGAUAUUGCUAUUUUAUAACAGUGUCAGGAAGCCUCUCAUUACUAUAGUUAAUUUUAGGAUAUAAACCAAACAGAAAUCUGGGAGAAGAAUAUUCCGGUUGGAGGGACUAUCAAAAAUUUAGAGAGUGAGGACAGAUCAUGCAGGUCUUUGUAGCCCACAGUUACAACUUUGGCUUUUACUACAAGAUGGAAAAUGGUAUAGGUGUGGGUAUGUUGAUAGUAUUCAGUGAUAGUAAAAUGAUCAGAGAGCUCUUUGUGAUGGGUUUUAUUUUUCCAUGAAGUUUGGCAACUGAGAAAUUGUUCUGAUGUAACUGUGAAGCAAGGUCAACAUCUAGGGAUAAAAGUUGGGUGGAGGUAAGGAGGAAGGGAGAGAAGAUGUGAAAUACCUGUUUUAAACACUAGAAAAGAGAGAAUACUAAUAUUAAUUGACUAUUUGAACUUGUGACAAUGAAUUUAGGGGGAGCACCAUCAGAAGAGUUGUGUGUGUCUGUGUGUGCUUGC
This is a long non-coding RNA of Equus caballus (horse), 2111 nucleotides long. The record is from Ensembl. NCBI's taxonomy places the organism in Eukaryota, Metazoa, Chordata, Mammalia, Perissodactyla, Equidae.